CCACAUCACUUUGAAUUACCAGUUCCCAUAUGAUCCCCAAAGUUAAGCCAUGUCAGGCCUUGCCAUUACCUAGAUGGGUAACUUUUUGGGAAUACCAAGUGCUGUAAG
This is a non-coding RNA of Acanthosepion pharaonis, 108 nucleotides long. Lineage: Eukaryota; Metazoa; Mollusca; Cephalopoda; Sepiida; Sepiidae. The record is from the annotation of a GenBank genome assembly.